GAUGAACGCUAGCGGCGUGCCUAAUACAUGCAAGUCGAGCGAACGGACGAGAAGCUUGCUUUUCUGAUGUUAGCGGCGGACGGGUGAGUAACACGUGGAUAACCUACCUAUAAGACUGGGAUAACUUCGGGAAACCGGAGCUAAUACCGGAUAAUAUUUUGAACCGCAUGGUUCAAAAGUGAAAGACGGUCUUGCUGUCACUUAUAGAUGGAUCCGCGCUGCAUUAGCUAGUUGGUAAGGUAACGGCUUACCAAGGCAACGAUGCAUAGCCGACCUGAGAGGGUGAUCGGCCACACUGGAACUGAGACACGGUCCAGACUCCUACGGGAGGCAGCAGUAGGGAAUCUUCCGCAAUGGGCGAAAGCCUGACGGAGCAACGCCGCGUGAGUGAUGAAGGUCUUCGGAUCGUAAAACUCUGUUAUUAGGGAAGAACAUAUGUGUAAGUAACUGUGCACAUCUUGACGGUACCUAAUCAGAAAGCCACGGCUAACUACGUG
This 497-nucleotide ribosomal RNA is filed under the name uncultured bacterium. RNAcentral's name for it is "partial 16S ribosomal RNA". It matches the Rfam family "Bacterial small subunit ribosomal RNA", at positions 28 to 507 of the family's 1533-position model. The record is from RNAcentral.